UUAGCGGCGGACGGGUGAGUAACACGUAGGCAACCUGCCCCUUGGACUGGGAUAACUACCGGAAACGGUAGCUAAUACCGGAUAAUUCCUCUUAGUUCCUGCUAAGAGGCUGAAAGGCGGAGCAAUCUGUCACCAAGGGAUGGGCCUGCGGCGCAUUAGCUAGUUGGUGGGGUAACGGCUCACCAAGGCGACGAUGCGUAGCCGACCUGAGAGGGUGAACGGCCACACUGGGACUGAGACACGGCCCAGACUCCUACGGGAGGCAGCAGUAGGGAAUCUUCCGCAAUGGGCGAAAGCCUGACGGAGCAACGCCGCGUGAGUGAUGAAGGUUUUCGGAUCGUAAAGCUCUGUUGCCAGGGAAGAACGUCCUUAAGAGUAACUGCUUAAGAAGUGACGGUACCUGAGAAGAAAGCCCCGGCUAACUACGUGCCAGCAGCCGCGGUAAUACGUAGGGGGCAAGCGUUGUCCGGAAUUAUUGGGCGUAAAGCGCGCGCAGGCGGCUGUUUAAGUCUGGUGUUUAAACCAUGGGCUCAACCUGUGGUCGCACUGGAAACUGGGCAGCUUGAGUGCAGAAGAGGAAAGUGGAAUUGCGACGUGUACCGGUGACGUGC
RNAcentral lists this ribosomal RNA (611 nucleotides) under Paenibacillus zanthoxyli. Its description in RNAcentral is "bacterial SSU rRNA". It matches the Rfam family "Bacterial small subunit ribosomal RNA", at positions 92 to 689 of the family's 1533-position model. The record is from RNAcentral. Lineage: Bacteria; Bacillati; Bacillota; Bacilli; Caryophanales; Paenibacillaceae.